Myotis daubentonii (Daubenton's bat) is the source of this 4464-nucleotide long non-coding RNA. RefSeq lists it as uncharacterized. The transcript has 2 exons. NCBI's taxonomy places the organism in Eukaryota, Metazoa, Chordata, Mammalia, Chiroptera, Vespertilionidae. The record is from RefSeq and is a predicted model, not a curated record.
GGCUCCGCCCCCGCCCCCGCGGACAGCGCCCGGGGCACGGCUCCCCCAGACGCGCCUUCCGGAGACGUGGGCUCGGGCCGGGUGGACGGACGUGGGGCGCUGCGGUGGAGGCGCAGGGGUGGACGGCGGGGGUGUGGAGUCCAGCCGCGGUCGCCCUCUCCCCCAGCGUUCUGCAGCGGCGCGGCGUUUAAUUCAUUGCUGGCCGCUUCCCAGACAGCAGAGCCGAGUUAACUCGUUUCCCGGGAUCGGGAUUGGGGGACCCUUUUUUACAAGGGAAGUCGUCGCCCCGGAGAAACGACCCUUGGCACCUACCGGGAAGGCGUCCUGUGUGAUGUCUGCGGGUAGAAACUCGCCGGUGACCUUUCCUGCCCCCACUCGGCGCCCAGCCCUGCGGGAGAGACAUGUUUUGGUGAUCUUUGGCUGCUUCUGAAUUUGUGCUAGGUUCCAGGCUCCCCUGUGCCCACAUGGCUGAUGGCCCUGUGGGACUCUACACAUGGACUAAUACGCUUUAAUCCACUUGGAUGCUGAACUACACUCGACUGUAACAUGGAACCGAAGCUCCGGACGCUGGCUGCUCCUGUAACCCCAGCUGCACCUUUUCCAGGACUGGCUUCUCUCAAUAAACUUUGCUCCCGCUAACCAUUUUUGCCCUCGAAUCCAUUCUUCGGUUUUUCAAGACAACAAAUUCUGACUCAAAACACCCCACAUUUUGGUUUCAAGAGCACCUACUGUUGCAGAUAAGCUGCCAGGCGGCGCAAGAGAAUUAAGUCAGCAGGGCACUCAGAGAAAAUUCAGCAAAGUUGCCUUUAUUGCAGACUGCGCUAGUGCCAUGACUCAGGGGAGUCAGUCUCCAAAUCCUGAGUGAUGGAUAUGCACGAAGCUUUCCCUUUAUACUCUUAGUUCCUUUGUCCCCAAAAUAUGGAUCAGGCUUCUGGAUCCUCUGUGGGCUUUGCAGUCCCCCUCCCCCCACCCCUGUGAGUUGGGAAGUGAGACCACACCCAGAGGCUUGCCAGCACUGGCACCGGCCCCUCCGGGGACUGUAUAUGGUUCAUGGUUUAUGGCCUCUGUAAGAUGGGUGUAUUCCAGGAAACAGGUUCUGCAGGGCAUCACAGAUAAGAAGGGAAUUUGAUAAGAAUGGAGUUUAUUGGCAAGCAAGGGUGUACGUCAGAAGGCAGGUUACUGGCACAGAUUCAGAUAGCUAGCCCCCCAAAUGUCUUAUUUUCCCCUUCAAUACAAGAAGUAAUCAAUGCAUACAUAAAUAAAUGAAACAACAAAUCAGUGUUUCUCUCUCCCUCCUCCCUCCCUCACUUCCUCUCUCUUUCUAAAUCAAUAAAUGGGAAAAAAGAAAAGAAAAGAACAGUGGAUCCCGUUGUUCUGUUGCGCCCCCUCCCACCCCCGUGGUUGUGGGAGGGGCAGUCGUUUGAUUUCAUUUAUCUCCUUCCUCAACAUACACACAGUGAUUCUUGUUUGAAAAAGGAUCCAUAUCCCUGUUCUCCAUGUGCCGGGCAUACUGUAGACACUCCAUGCACACCCAGUAGUUGUGAUACCUGCACCCCUAGAAAGGUUCUGUCUUCAUGUCUGCCUCUUGUCCGGACCAUAUUGAAUUUGGAUUAGCUUUUUUGUGGGGAUCUAGGUGCAGACCACUGGUCAGUGCAUUCAUUCAUUUAUUCAUUCUUCAGUUCAUUCCUUCAACAAGUAUUUCUUACGUGCUCUUUACGUGGUAGGCGCUGUUCUAGGUCCCUUCUCUAGGAGUUUUCUAGUGGGGAGAACAGACAGUAGGCAGAUACGUAUGAGUAGCAGUGAGUGCUCAGAAGUGAAGAAGAGAGGUGAGUCACAGGGCUUGGGGGGUGGGGAUGCUGUUUUACAGAGGGUGGUCAAGGAAGGUGACUUCAACAAAGACCAAAAUAAAAAUGCUGAGGGAGGCAGAGGAAACAGGUGGAGGCCUGAGAUGGGGAAGGGGGGAUGUUGAUGCAAGGAGCAGUAGGAAGCCUGCUAGGCUGAAGUGGAGUGAGGAGGAAGAGAGUGUAAGAAAGGUGGGGAGGGGAGAUGGCUCUGGAUUUGACCCUGCAAGGGUUGCUGCCAUCUUAACAUCUUUGCCACUUCAGUGAAAUCUUAGCGAUACCAUCUGUAGUUCUGGGCGUGAUCUAGUUUUGGAGAAUGUAUUUUAUUCUGAGGACUCAGGAUUAAUUGUCUUAACACUUAAAAAAAAGAUUUUAGAGAGGGAGGAAGGGAGAGAGAAACAUCGAUGUGAGGGAGAUACAUCUAUCAGUUGCUGCUUGUACAUACCCCGACCAGGUAUCAAACUCAUGACCUUCUGCUACACGGGAUGACAUUCCCACCAACUGAGCCACACCGGUCAGGGUGCCUUAACACUUUCAAACAUGUAAAAAGCAGGCAGCUGAAUGUUAGUAAUGAUGUAUUCUCAACAUUAGAGGAAUACUGGUUGACUAGAAGUAAAUUGAACAGCAUACCUCAGAAUCAUUGAAGUGCUUGCAUCUUGGUUGGUGGCCAAAAUUAGUGGAAUGUAGACUGCGCAUUCACAGAGCAACACUCUUAUUUUUAGUUGCAGGAAACAGGUCCUCAUAAUGUUGCAUGGUAUGUAGGAUCUGAAAGUCUUUAGGCUAAAAUCUGUUGUACAUACAGCUGCAAGAAGCUGGCUAGUGAGCAGGGUUACUCACAGUGCUGCACCCACAUAACCCCGGGGGAACUGGCUUACACUGCUCAUUUCGUGUCCUUACCUGGUCCUACUGGGUGGGAGACUCUGAGGAUGGGGCCUGGGAAUCUGAAUACAUCACAGCCUCCUCCAGUGGUUCUUGUGUGUGGUCAGACCGGAGGAUCACUGACUGAGACCACCGUGGAGGCAUUGGUGCGCGAAUAAGUACCAUAAGGUACCAGAACUGACUGGGUGUGGUCUCAGCCAGUUCUCUGGCCAGCACUUGAUAUCAUGGGUGAAAUCCCAGAGUCUUAAAAGACGGGUGAAACAGUGGAAACGGAGAAAUAGUGCCCCCUUUCCCCCGUAGGUGGUGGAAGUGGAAGGGGAUAUAGGGGCUCUGCUUGAGUUGCAUGGAUCCAGGAACAUUGUUGUCCUUCCACCGCCUGCACACCUGUGAACUCUCCCUGCCAGGUGGCGUGUGAAUGCAGGCCUGUGCAUGUCUGUUGGCUUCUGAUUAGGUAGAUACUGAAGCUCAGGUAUCACAAGUGUUAACCCACAGUCUUUGGUCUUCAAUUUUUACAUUAAGUUUAAUUACCUUUGGUAACCUGUAAGCAGAAGGCCAAAAUGAGAGGCAACAAGCGUUCAUUUGAGGUCCAUAGGAAUAGCUACUCACUCCCGAAGGGCUGAUUCAGGCAGAAACCCAAAUAGUGUUUUGAUUAGGUGACUGGCCAGAGGUAUUUAUGAGAAAGAGAAGGGGAAUAAUUAAGAGAAUUGAAAGAAGGGAUUUCUGUAGGUGUAGAUUAGCUAGCAUAGUGAUGCUAAUUCUAAAGAAUGUCUUUGAUCUUCAGUCCCUUAGUCAAAACAGCAGUUUGGAAUACUGCGCUGCCUUAGGCCCAGUCCGAAGGUUAUUUUGCCCAGUUUCAACAUUCUAAGGUUUGAGGCAGUUUCUCUGGGAUGGCAGCUCUGACUCCAUUUUCAAAGUGGCUCUGUUUUUGUUAUUUUUUACACUUUCAAUACUUUAAAAAUACGGCAAUGUUGGGAUUUUAAUAUAUAUACAACUAGAGGCUCAGUGCAUGAAAUUCAUGCACAGGUAGGGUCCCUAGGCCUGGCUGGCGAUCAGGGCUGAUUGGGGCCUUCUGGCUGCUGGCCGGGGCCUUCUGCCAGUCAGGGCCUUCUUUGUCCCCCUGGUGGUCAGCGCACGUCAUAGUGAUCUAUCGAACUCCCAGUCACCUGGUCAAACUCCCAAGGGGACACUUUGUAUAUUAGCCUUUUAUAUAUAUAGAUGACUUUAUCCCAGUGGGUCAAGUCAGGGUGAUUUUCCCCCCUAGGAGACAUUUGUCAAUAUCUGGAAACAUUUUUAGUUGUCACAACUGGGAGAGAUGGGGAGGACCAGAGAUUCUACUGGUAUGUUGUGGAUAGAGGUCAGGGAUGUUGCUAAACAUCCUAUAAUGCCCAGAUAACCUCCUACAACAGUGAUGGCGAACCUAUGACACCCGUGUCAGAGGUGACACACGAACUCAUUUUUUUGGUGGAUUUUUCUUUGUUAAAUGGCAUUUAAAUAUAUAAAAUAAAUAUCAAAAAUAUAAGUCUUUGUUUUACUAUGGUUGCAAAUAUCAAAAAAUUUCUAUAUGUGACACGGCACCAGAGUUAAGUUAGGGUUUUUCAAAAUGCUGCCACGCCGAGCUCAAAAGGUUCGCCAUCACUGGCCUACAAUGAAGAGUUACCCAGUCACUGUUUUCUCAGCUUCACAUUUUUGUUUCUAAUGAUCUGUACCUUGGCAUGCCUUCAUUAUUAAAAGCAAAGCAAACAAA